Molecule: ribosomal RNA, 400 nt
Filed under: uncultured bacterium
Lineage: Bacteria
Description: bacterial SSU rRNA
Rfam family: Bacterial small subunit ribosomal RNA
Source: RNAcentral
UGAGGAAUAUUGGGCAAUGGGCGCAAGCCUGACCCAGCCAUGCCGCGUGAAGGAUGAAUGCCCUAUGGGUUGUAAACUUCUUUUGUAUAGGACGAAACUUUUGUACGUGUACAGAACUGACGGUACUAUACGAAUAAGCAUCGGCUAACUCCGUGCCAGCAGCCGCGGUAAUACGGAGGAUGCAAGCGUUAUCCGGAUUUAUUGGGUUUAAAGGGUGCGUAGGCGGGAUAUUAAGUCAGUGGUGAAAGCCUGCAGCUUAACUGCAGUACUGCCAUUGAUACUGAUAUUCUUGAGUACAUAUGAGGUGGGCGGAAUGUGUAAUGUAGCGGUGAAAUGCUUAGAUAUUACACAGAACACCGAUUGCGUAGGCAGCUCACUAAACUGUAACUGACGCUGAGGC